This 696-nucleotide unclassified non-coding RNA is filed under the name Calycadenia fremontii (Fremont's calycadenia). RNAcentral's name for it is "partial external transcribed spacer". The record is from RNAcentral. Lineage: Eukaryota; Viridiplantae; Streptophyta; Magnoliopsida; Asterales; Asteraceae.
GCAUUCUCUUCAGUUGCUUGCCAAGGCUUGUUUGUCUUGGUGGAUUGUGGGUUUCCUGUGUUGCCUACCUAAACGAUGGUAUUGAUUGGUUGAUCCUUGUCCCUUUCUUCUAGUGUCAUACAAAUGACACGAGAUGAACCAUGAACCGGUCUCUUUGAUCCACCUUGUCAACGCUAGUGUUGAUUUUGUGGCUCAUUGAGCAUUGGUUGGUCUCCUGGAUACAGAACAUGAUUUGAGCAUGGGGUCUCAUGUUGUCUUUGUUUCGCUUUCAUUCAGUUUGUUCGCUUCUCUUUAAAAAAAAAGACGCCUCGCCCGGAAUGGCACGUUCCCCCGGGGUGGUAAGUCAAAGGGAGGUGCACAUCCUGUUUGACGUGUUCAUGGUGCAUCAUGUGAUCCUUGUAUUGCUCUCGGUUAGCGUUCACGCCUUAUUUGGGCAAUGGGGUCUCAUGUGGUCUUUGUUUCGCAUCCUUACUUCUUGAGAAACUUCCCUUUAAAAAAUAAGACGCCUCGCCCGGAAUGGCACGUUCCCCCGGGGUGGUAAGUCGGAGGGAGGCGCACUCGUUGUUUUGAUGUGGGCACGGCGCCUCAUGUGAUCCUUCUUUGCUCUCGUUUGGCGUUAGCGCUUCUCUUCAAAUGACGGCCUCGCAUGCUAGGGCUCGUACCAGUGUGCCAGGCCAUGUCAAAGAGGAAUGCUAC